Molecule: RNA transcript, 1493 nt
Organism: Ipomoea nil (Japanese morning glory)
Lineage: Eukaryota; Viridiplantae; Streptophyta; Magnoliopsida; Solanales; Convolvulaceae
Gene name: trafficking protein particle complex subunit 12
Exons: 2
Source: RefSeq, a predicted model, not a curated record
UUUUAUUCCUCUCCACAUUAAAAACCAAAGACCAAUACCAAAGCUCGGCUCACGUUAGCACUUUUCAAUCUCCGGCAUCCGCCAUGGACGCUACGGUGACCGCAGAUCCAGAUUCAGAUCAACCUCCAUUCAACACAGCUCCCACCGCCACUGCUGACGCAGACUCCGGCGCCGCCACUGCCAUUGAUGAUCCCUUAAACAAUCCAUACGGCUCGCUGAACGAUCACUGCCACGAACUAGGCGCCCUGCAGGAUCUGGCUUGCCGAGGAGCGUGGCGGUCGAUCCUUGACAAGAUUGGCCGCGCUCGCUCGCUUUCCCUCCUCACAAAGCCCCAUGAGCACCUCAUCUACCUCACUUACAAUGUCCUUGCUCUCACUAAGCUCCGCCGCUUCUCCGACGCCGGCAACGAGCUCAACACCGUGCUUGAAGGCGACGAAUUCGAGAGCUCCCAAUACGUAUACGAAACUUACCCUAAUCAUUACCCCAACUCCAAGGGCUCCAUGGUCCCCUUCGCCCUCCGUUGGCUCCACGCUCAUCUCCCCUCCACCCUGGGUCAGCGCCAGCAAGCUCUCGAUCGCCUGUACUCCCUCCUCGAUUUCAUUCGUUCCAAGAAACUGAACAAUUUGCAGUCAAGGUCAAAAGUUUCAGAAGAUUUGUGGAGAAAACGCGAAAUUUUUGUGAUAAAUACUAUAAUCAGUUACCAUUUGAGUCAGAAGGAGUUCAAGGUGUGUUCGGAUUUGCUGAAUGAAUUGAUUGGAAAAAGAGGAUGUGGGAAUGAUCCCUUUCUGGUGUCAAAACUGGGACAUGUCCAGAUGCAGUAUGGAGAUUUGGAAGGAGCAAAAACAACUUUCAAAGUAGUAGAAGAUAUAAUUGAGAAUGAGGAUGAUGUGAGGUUGAAGAAUUUAGUCAGCAGGAACAAGGCAUUGAUUUAUAUUCUAGGAAAAGACUAUGUUUCUGCUGUGAGGGAGUACGAGGAGUGCAUAGAGAGGGAUGGGAUGGAUAUGGUGGCAAUCAACAACAAGGCAUUGUGUUUGAUGUAUUUGAGGGACUUAUCUGAUGCUAUCAAAGUGUUGGAGAAUGCCUUGGAGCGGGUUCCCACCGUGGCAUUGAACGAGACUGUGGUGGUGAACUUGUGUAGUAUGUAUGAAUUGGCUUAUGUUAAUCAUGUGGAUAUAAAGAAGACUCUUAAUAAUUGGAUUGCUAGAGUUGCUCCAGAUGAUUUCGAUUCGACGUGUACCCGAAUAUGAGGUAUUCAUUGUUUAACCUUAAUGCAAACUCGAGAUUAAAGACAGUAUUCAGUUUUGAUGUAUGCUACUUUCUCAUUAUUGAAUGCAUCUUGUGUAGAUUUACCCUGCAAUCAGAAUGAUACCUACUUUGUGCUAAAUCUGGCGGGUGCCAUUUAUGCUUUUGCUUUUCCCUGUAUGUUGUGUGCUUCUUGUUAUUUGGGUUAAUGCAUUAUCAUGGACUAAUAAAUUGGCAUGUUAUACAUCUUU